This 212-nucleotide unclassified non-coding RNA is filed under the name rhizosphere metagenome. RNAcentral's name for it is "partial ribosomal RNA internal transcribed spacer region". The record is from RNAcentral.
CUCAGUAGUUUACUACUGUAAAAGAGGCUGUUAGUCUGUAUAGCGCAAGCUGAUGAGCAGCUGGUCUCUUUUAUCCACCCUUGUCUUUUGCGUACCCACGUUUCCUCGGCAGGCUUGCCUGCCGAUUGGACAAACAUAUAACCUUUUUAAUUUUCAAUCAGCGUCUGAAAAACUUAACAAUUACAACUUUCAACAACGGAUCUCUUGGUUCU